GAUGAACGCUGGCGGCGUGCCUAAUACAUGCAAGUCGAGCGAACAGAUAAGGAGCUUGCUCCUUUGACGUUAGCGGCGGACGGGUGAGUAACACGUGGAUAACCUACCUAUAAGACUGGGAUAACUUCGGGAAACCGGAGCUAAUACCGGAUAACAUAUUGAACCGCAUGGUUCAAUAGUGAAAGGCGGCUUUGCUGUCACUUAUAGAUGGAUCCGCGCCGUAUUAGCUAGUUGGUAAGGUAACGGCUUACCAAGGCAACGAUACGUAGCCGACCUGAGAGGGUGAUCGGCCACACUGGAACUGAGACACGGUCCAGACUCCUACGGGAGGCAGCAGUAGGGAAUCUUCCGCAAUGGGCGAAGGCCUGACGGAGCAACGCCGCGUGAGUGAUGAAGGCCUUCGGAUCGUAAAACUCUGUUAUCAGGGAAGAACAAAUGUGUAAGUAACUGUGCACAUCUUGACGGUACCUGAUCAGAAAGCCACGGCUAACUACGUG
Molecule: ribosomal RNA, 497 nt
Filed under: uncultured bacterium
Lineage: Bacteria
Description: partial 16S ribosomal RNA
Rfam family: Bacterial small subunit ribosomal RNA
Source: RNAcentral